This 379-nucleotide unclassified non-coding RNA is filed under the name uncultured fungus. RNAcentral describes it as "partial contains ITS1, 5.8S rRNA and ITS2". The record is from RNAcentral. Lineage: Eukaryota; Fungi.
AACGCAUCUUGCGCUCCUUGGCAUUCCGAGGAGCAUGCCUGUUUGAGAAUCGAUACACCCUCUUUGCAGCUGUUUUCUUCUUUCUCUUUGGAAGGGAAAAGUGGCCGCAUGGAUAUGAGUCUUCUCUGCUACUAGCUAGCAGAGUGACUUGAAAUGCAAGGAUGGACUGGCAUCAGUCGAUGCAUGCACAGUGCCUGCAACACGCACCGUGUCAUUUGGAAGGAUGGGAUUCAUCUGAGCGUGAUACGACUUGUGCUUUGCUUGUCUCUGUCAUCAUCAGCAACUGCGGCAUUACACAGUUUCCACUCCAACACCAACAACAAGAGCCUGACUCUUGUCACUUGGUCUCAAAUCAGGUAGGAAGACCCGCUGAACUUAA